Molecule: ribosomal RNA, 284 nt
Filed under: uncultured bacterium
Lineage: Bacteria
Description: partial 16S ribosomal RNA
Rfam family: Bacterial small subunit ribosomal RNA
Source: RNAcentral
GUGGAUUAGAUACCCUGGUAGUCCACGCCGUAAACGAUGAUCACUCGCUGUUGGCGAUACACAGUCAGCGGCUAAGCAAAAGCAUUAAGUGAUCCACCUGGGGAGUACGGCCGCAAGGCUGAAACUCAAAGGAAUUGACGGGGGCCCGCACAAGCGGAGGAACAUGUGGUUUAAUUCGAUGAUACGCGAGGAACCUUACCUGGGCUUAAAUGCAGAGUGCAUGAUUUAGAAAUAGAUCUUUCCUUCGGGACUCUUUGCAAGGUGCUGCACGGUUGUCGUCAACU